UACGUAGGGUGCAAGCGUUAAUCGGAAUUACUGGGCGUAAAGCGUGCGCAGGCGGCUUUGCAAGACAGAUGUGAAAUCCCCGGGCUUAACCUGGGAACUGCAUUUGUGACUGCAAGGCUGGAGUGCGGCAGAGGGGGAUGGAAUUCCGCGUGUAGCAGUGAAAUGCGUAGAUAUGCGGAGGAACACCGAUGGCGAAGGCAGCCCCCUGGGUCAAGACUGACGCUCAUGCACGAAAGCGUGGGGAGCAAACAGG
This 253-nucleotide ribosomal RNA is filed under the name uncultured bacterium. RNAcentral describes it as "partial 16S ribosomal RNA". It matches the Rfam family "Bacterial small subunit ribosomal RNA", at positions 524 to 776 of the family's 1533-position model. The record is from RNAcentral.